AAUAAAAUAUAGCAAAAACCAAGAUGUAAUUAAUUGCAAAAAUCAAUGACUGUUGUAAAAUAAUCUAAAGAUCUUUUAUCCUUUUUUAUCUCUGCAACAGAUUUUUAGGCAGCAAUGAUUUUGCCACACAUCUUUUUCUUUGCAAUGCCUACUAAUUAUUUUGCAAUGCUCCUUUUAAUCUGCAUUUCCAUCACGUGUGAGCUCGUGAUACCGUUUUGCCUUUGCGCUUCACUUUUCUCUGCGUUUCACUUUAUGGCACUGUUUUGACGUGGGGGUGGAGUCAGGGGAUUGGGGCGUGUACAACGGGCUCAGUGAUGCCUCUUUGGAAGUUACAUCAUUAGCUUGAGACACGGAUCAAACAUCAUGGCUGAGCAAACGCAUGCAGGUGGAUCUCAGAUUAUAAUGGGCUAUAUGCACGGUUACUUCCUGGUUUAGAUAAGCCAGCUCAGGCAUUUCCGUUCAACUGUCAUUCCUGAAGAUGUUCUAUACGCGCUGCCUGCAGGAUCUACCUCGAGUCAACACAAAUGAUGAUUUACACCGCCUGAUUCAUUCAAAUUCAAAGACUUCAUCAAGCAAACGUGAAAAGGGAUGUAUUAUAUCCAGCUAUAUCCAUGACUACGAAGGUUGUUCUCAAAGACUCUAAACCCAUUGAGCUGUUGACCUGUCAGGGCUUGCACUAUGCAAUCAUGUUGCAGAUUUGCUCUACCAGACCUCACAUUACAGCCAGCAGGGAGUAACGGCUGUCCCCCUACUCACAGCUGCACAGGGUCUGAGCUACAGUGGCACAAACCUAGAACCCAGAGUAACUUGUACAACGGGGCCUGUGACCGGACCUGUGACCUUCCAGACAUGUCAGUUCUGCGUGUGAAUGAGAUUUACCGAGGAAUGCCAAGGGAAACUGCUCCACCCACAACAACAAUGGGAAUAGCAUUUAUUAAAUGGUUUAUUCAAAGAAUAUUCAGAGAUGGGAGAGUCAUAAAAACAAUCAAACAAAAGGUUGAUUACUUUUACCUACCUAUGCUUUUGGCUUGUCAGUUUCCAUGGUUAACUUUCAAUCAGUUUUUUUACAAAGUUCAAAUAGUUUGGUUUUCAUUACAUUUCUUAGCAGUUUUCAUGUGCUCACUAUUGUCAUCUGCCACAAAUAUAUUCUAAUAGAACAGAAUUCUAGUAUACAAUGUAUACAAAUUAUGUUAUGUAGUUGAACAUGUCAUCAUUAAUUUAUUAAAUUACAUAUUUUCCUAUAAAUGUUAUUUAUGUGAGUGUUUGAGGUUAUAUCUCAUUAGUACCUAAAAUAGUAUUGUUUAAAUGCUGUUUGUAAUGGCCACAAUAAAACACACAAUGCUUUGGGGAGCCCUUUAAAAAAGGCAGUUACAAACAAAUGUAGGUUUAUUCACUGAAAGCAUGAAACUGAAAAUGAGGGGAAAAUACAGAUCCCUGUAUGAUGAUGUAGAGAUGUAAAUCCAUUCUUUAUCAUUGAACAAAAGCAGUAGCUAACAACAGUAAAAUAGUAUCAAUACUAAACAGAACUGCAGCACUGGUCUUGAUGCAUACAUUUAGACCCAGCAAUUUAAAGCAAAAAGCUCUGGUAAUUUAACAGAAGGCAUGCAACUACAUAGAGAUGGUUAAUGUUACCAAACAUAUUUAGGGGAUAACCAUGUCAAAGAAUUUGUGUUCCUUUAAACGGCGAAUAAGGCGCUCAUCAUGCACUCUCAGAUAUGCAAUAGUCUGGGUCUCCCUGACCUCGCGUGCAGGCAUCUGAAAUCUCCCAGAAAGAAAUGCAGGCCUGUACACUUUACAGGGCACACAGUCAUCCUUAAGAAAGCCCAGGGGCGAAAAUUUCAUCAAAAUGUUGGGGGGACAAUAAACAUAACGAUUCUCAAGAGCAAUUUUUGAAGGGGACACCAAGGGAUUUUUUGUUGUUGCCACGUUUGCAUUUGUAUUAUUUUAUUUCUUAAACAAUUAUUUUAAAAAUAUAUCAUAUUAUUUUCAAUACACAUAUUUUAAUGAUAUUUUAGUGAUGUAAGUAUUCCUGACUCUUCAAAGAUCUGCUUGUCACUUACUGAGCCAGCAAAGAGGGGAGAAACAACGGUUAUAGCACCAUGGCGGGCCGUUGUUGGUCGCCGGAGGGGUAAGUUUGAAAACUAAUAGCCGAAUUGAAUUUAGCUGAGGAUGAACAAUGAGGGACGCAACAGUGCCCAGCUGAAGUCCACUCAAAAUGCUGAAAUUUAAACGUCUUUUUCAUUUCGUUCACUUAUUUUUGUAAUCGAUUUAAACAAGUGAAUAACUGUGUGCAAAAAAAAAAAAGAUUGAUAUCGCCUUACAGGCUAUAUUUACACUGUCUAUCAUAAAAUUUAAUAUGCCGCUACAGCAAGUGACGUUUCACCGGAAGUUUUUGAGCUGGCUUAUAUUAUUCCGGAAGUUGUCAUUAAUGUUCCAUGCAUAUAGCCCAUUGUCUAUACCAUAGUAUGUUGUCUUCUAAAAAAAUGUAAACUCCAUAUUUAGAUGUAACAUUAUCACUGUUAAAGGAGACAAUAAAUAGAUUACAAAUAAAAAGUUAAACGAUCGUAACAAACGUGCAUGUGUUCUGUCUAUAAAAAUACAGUUUUGAAAUAUAAAAUGUUCACAUCCCCUAUAUUCUUAACCCUGCGUUAUACAGC
Xyrauchen texanus (razorback sucker) is the source of this 2657-nucleotide long non-coding RNA. RefSeq lists it as uncharacterized. The transcript is spliced from 4 exons. The record is from RefSeq and is a predicted model, not a curated record. NCBI's taxonomy places the organism in Eukaryota, Metazoa, Chordata, Actinopteri, Cypriniformes, Catostomidae.